Molecule: ribosomal RNA, 253 nt
Filed under: uncultured bacterium
Lineage: Bacteria
Description: partial 16S ribosomal RNA
Rfam family: Bacterial small subunit ribosomal RNA
Source: RNAcentral
CACGUAGGCACCAAGCGUUGUCCGGAUUUAUUGGGCGUAAAGCGCGCGUAGGCGGCCCGUUAAGUCGGAUGUGAAAACCCGGGGCUCAACCCCGGGCCUGCAUUCGAUACUGGCGGGCUCGAGGCAGGCAGGGGAGAGUGGAAUUCCUGGUGUAGCGGUGAAAUGCGCAGAUAUCAGGAAGAACACCAACGGCGAAGGCAGCUCGCUAGGACGGUACUGACGCUGAGACGCGAAAGCGUGGGGAGCGAACAGG